RNAcentral lists this ribosomal RNA (467 nucleotides) under uncultured bacterium. RNAcentral's name for it is "bacterial SSU rRNA". It matches the Rfam family "Bacterial small subunit ribosomal RNA", at positions 44 to 507 of the family's 1533-position model. The record is from RNAcentral.
AGGCCUAACACAUGCAAGUCGAGCGGUAGAGAGGUGCUUGCAUCUCUUGAGAGCGGCGGACGGGUGAGUAAUGCCUAGGAAUCUGCCUAGUGGUGGGGGAUAACGUCGGAAACGGACGCUAAUACCGCAUACGUCCUACGGGAGAAAGCGGGGAUCUUCGGACCUCGCGCCAUUAGAUGAGCCUAGGUCGGAUUAGCUAGUUGGUGAGGUAAUGGCUCACCAAGGCGACGAUCCGUAACUGGUCUGAGAGGAUGAUCAGUCACACUGGAACUGAGACACGGUCCAGACUCCUACGGGAGGCAGCAGUGGGGAAUAUUGGACAAUGGGGCGAAAACCUGAUCCAGCCAUGCCGCGUGUGUGAAGAAGGUCUUCGGAUUGUAAAGCACUUUAAGUUGGGAGGAAGGGUAGUAACCUAAUACGUUGCUACUUUGACGUUACCGACAGAAUAAGCACCGGCUAACUUCGUG